This 829-nucleotide non-coding RNA is filed under the name Balta dissecta. The record is from RNAcentral. Lineage: Eukaryota; Metazoa; Arthropoda; Insecta; Blattodea; Pseudophyllodromiidae.
UAAAAGUUUUAUUCUUGCUUAUUUAUUUAUUAUUAAAUUAUUUUAUAUGCUAGUUUUUGUUGAUAUUAUUUUUCUAAAUGAUCUGUUUUGAUUUAUGUAUUUUGCAGUAGAGAAUAUUAAAUAUUUAGGUUACUUUGAUUUGGUUAUUAUUAUUUGUUAUUGAUUAAAUAUGUGCCAGCAAUCGCGGUUAUACAUUGGAUAUAAGUAAAUAUUAUUAGUUAAUGUGGUUAUUUUGUUGUUCGUUAAUUUUUUUUUUUUAUUAUUAAAGUGAAAUUGUUAAUUUUUGUUUUAUGUUAUUUUGGGAGUGGGGAAGAAGAGAAAGAGGGAAGGAGACCAUGAAAUCUAAAUUAUUUAAACUAGGAUUAGAUACCCUAUUAUUUUUUAUUUAAAGUUUUAGCUUGGGUAUUAAUAGAUUUUGUUCUUUAAACCUAAAGAAUUUGGCGGUGUUUUAUUCUUUUUAGAGGAAUCUGUCCCGUUAUCGAUAAUCCGCGAUGAACCUUACUUUUUAUGAUUGGUUUAUAUACCGCCGUUAAUUGUUUGUAAAUUUUUUUAGAAUUAUUAAAUUUUCUUAAUUUUUUAUUGGAAUAUAUUUCAGGUCAAGGUGUAGCUUAUGAAUGGAGUGGUGAUGGAUUACAAUAUUUUUUUUAUAUACGGAUUAAUAUUAAGUAUUUGAUUUUUGAAGGUGGAUUUAAUAGUAAUCCUUUGUAGAUUGUUAGUUUGAAUUAUAGCACUGAGGCAUGUACAUAUCGCCCGUCACUCUCGUUAAUUUUGUUAAAGAUGAGAUAAGUCGUAACAAAGUAGGUGUACUGGAAAGUGUACCUAGAAUUAU